AGAGAGUAGCUGUGGUCUCCUGCGUGCUCACCCUCUGCUCCCUUGGUCCUGCUCCAUGCUUUGGUCCUGCACUUAAAUUUUACAAGCAUACUCUCUUUCUCUUAAGCAUUACUCACAGUAGCAAGCUAUGAAAUUGACCUGAGUGGCCAUCAACAGAUGAAUGGAUAAAGAAAAUGUACGUAUACACAAUGGAAUACUAUUCGGCCAUGAAAAAAACAAAGAAAUUCUGUUAUAUGUUACAACGUGGAUUAACCUGGAGGAUGUUAUGUUAGGUAAAAUAAGGCACGGAAAGACAAUACUGUAUAAUCUCACUCGUGUGUGGAAUCUAAGCAAGUUGAACUCAUAGAAGAAAAGAGUAGAAUGGUAUUUAUCUGAGGCUGGAGCUAUUGGACGUGGCAAGGAGGUGAUGUUGGACAAAACCGAAAUUUCAGUUACACGGGAGGAAUACGUUCAAGGGAUCUAUCGUACAACAUCAUGACUAUAG
Molecule: long non-coding RNA, 484 nt
Filed under: Homo sapiens (human)
Lineage: Eukaryota; Metazoa; Chordata; Mammalia; Primates; Hominidae
Description: non-protein coding HDAC2-AS2:98
Source: RNAcentral